Molecule: ribosomal RNA, 497 nt
Filed under: uncultured bacterium
Lineage: Bacteria
Description: partial 16S ribosomal RNA
Rfam family: Bacterial small subunit ribosomal RNA
Source: RNAcentral
GAUGAACGCUGGCGGCGUGCCUAAUACAUGCAAGUAGAACGCUGAAGGAAGGAGCUUGCUCUUUCCGGAUGAGUUGCGAACGGGUGAGUAACGCGUAGGUAACCUGCCUGGUAGCGGGGGAUAACUAUUGGAAACGAUAGCUAAUACCGCAUAACAGUAGAUGUUGCAUGACAACUAUUUGAAAGGGGCAAUUGCUCCACUACCAGAUGGACCUGCGUUGUAUUAGCUAGUUGGUGAGGUAACGGCUCACCAAGGCGACGAUACAUAGCCGACCUGAGAGGGUGAUCGGCCACACUGGGACUGAGACACGGCCCAGACUCCUACGGGAGGCAGCAGUAGGGAAUCUUCGGCAAUGGACGGAAGUCUGACCGAGCAACGCCGCGUGAGGGAAGAAUGGUUUCGGAUCGUAAAGCUCUGUUGUAAGAGAAGAACGAGUGUGAGAGUGGAAAGCUCACACUGUGACGGUAUCUUACCAGAAAGGGACGGCUAACUACGUG